RNAcentral lists this transfer RNA (74 nucleotides) under freshwater metagenome. RNAcentral's name for it is "tRNA-Ala". It matches the Rfam family "tRNA". From Rfam's summary of the family: Transfer RNA (tRNA) molecules are approximately 80 nucleotides in length. The record is from RNAcentral.
GGGGCCAUAGCUCAGCUGGGAGAGCGCCUGCUUUGCAAGCAGGAGGUCGUCGGUUCGAUCCCGACUGGCUCCAC